UACGUAGGGGGCAAGCGUUGUCCGGAUUUAUUGGGCGUAAAGAGCGUGUAGGCGGCCAGGUAGGUCAGCUGUGAAAACUCGAGGCUCAACCUCGAGACGUCGGUUGAAACCACCUGGCUAGAGUCCGGAAGAGGAGAGUGGAAUUCCUGGUGUAGCGGUGAAAUGCGCAGAUAUCAGGAAGAACACCAAUGGCGAAGGCGGGUCUCUGGGCAGUAACUGACGCUGAGGAGCGAAAGCGUGGGGAGCGAACAGG
RNAcentral lists this ribosomal RNA (253 nucleotides) under uncultured bacterium. RNAcentral's name for it is "partial 16S ribosomal RNA". It matches the Rfam family "Bacterial small subunit ribosomal RNA", at positions 524 to 776 of the family's 1533-position model. The record is from RNAcentral.